RNAcentral lists this ribosomal RNA (231 nucleotides) under uncultured Sneathia sp. RNAcentral describes it as "partial 16S ribosomal RNA". It matches the Rfam family "Bacterial small subunit ribosomal RNA", at positions 279 to 524 of the family's 1533-position model. The record is from RNAcentral. Lineage: Bacteria; Fusobacteriati; Fusobacteriota; Fusobacteriia; Fusobacteriales; Leptotrichiaceae.
AUAGGUAGCCGGCCUGAGAGGGUGGACGGCCACAAGGGGACUGAGAUACGGCCCUUACGCCUACGGGAGGCAGCAGUGGGGAAUAUUGGACAAUGGAGGAAACUCUGAUCCAGCAAUUCUGUGUGUGUGAAGAAGGUUUUAGGACUGUAAAACACUUUUAGUAGGGAAGAAAAAAAUGACGGUACCUACAGAAGAAGCAACGGCUAAAUACGUGCCAGCAGCCGCGGUAAU